GACGAACGCUGGCGGCGUGCCUAAUACAUGCAAGUCGAACGCUGAAGAGAGGAGCUUGCUCUUCUUGGAUGAGUUGCGAACGGGUGAGUAACGCGUAGGUAACCUGCCUUGUAGCGGGGGAUAACUAUUGGAAACGAUAGCUAAUACCGCAUAACAAUGGAUGACACAUGUCAUUUAUUUGAAAGGGGCAAUUGCUCCACUACAAGAUGGACCUGCGUUGUAUUAGCUAGUAGGUGAGGUAAUGGCUCACCUAGGCGACGAUACAUAGCCGACCUGAGAGGGGGAUCGGCCACACUGGGACGGAGACACGGCCCAGACUCCUACGGGAGGCAGCAGUAGGGUAUCUUCGGCAAUGGGGGCAACCCUGACCGAGCAACGCCGCGUGAGUGAAGAAGGGUUUCGGAUCGUAAAGCUCUGUUGUAAGUCAAGAACGGGUGUGAGAGUGGAAAGUUCACACUGUGACGGUAGCUUACCAGAAAGGGACGGCUAACUACGUG
RNAcentral lists this ribosomal RNA (497 nucleotides) under uncultured bacterium. RNAcentral describes it as "partial 16S ribosomal RNA". It matches the Rfam family "Bacterial small subunit ribosomal RNA", at positions 28 to 507 of the family's 1533-position model. The record is from RNAcentral.